GAAAAAAUACCUUUGAGAGUUAUAAGAUUUAGAAAAAAAAAAUUAUUUUAAUGUAUGUAUGUAUUUUUCUGUAAAUUCAGUUUGAACCAAUGUGAAAAAGCAUGAACAUUUUAUUACUUUUGUAUUCAGCAUUGUCAGAAAGCCAAUCACAUCUUGCCACCUAUCUUACCCUGGAUACAUUUUACAAAACACAGAGCAGGGGGAUUAUCACUAUCAUAGCUGUGCUUGGUCUGAACGUAAAUUUGAGGUCUACAUCUUAUAAGAACAUGCUCUCACCUCACUGUACUUCCCCUAGCACUGAUCAGAGUUGAAAAACACAUGAUAGAGCGAUAAAUAAGUAUUUUGUAUAUAUAUUCAUUACCUGCUCUCAGUUUCCGAAUUCAUUGACCUUUGAAUCUAUUACAAUGAUGCAUUAGGUGAAAUUUUUUAGCAAUAUCAAAUCUGUCUAUGGCCCUUGACCUUAUUCUCUUGUAUUCUCGAGCUUGUAUUAUAUGUCUCAGAAUAAAAAUCGAUUGAUUUCUCAAUGAGUUCUGAAUUUAAAGCUAAUAUUGUAAUGAGUAUAAGUGAAGCUUAUAUUGUGUAAACUGUAAUUUAACCAGCAUUAUAGUCUCUGCUCAGAGCCAGUUAUAAAAAUACAGUAUUGAACCCACCUCAAGUAAUUGUGUCUGUCCCAAGUCAGACUAGUUAGUGGUUGCCUUCAGUUAUAUUUUAAUAUUUUUGUCCUUAUUGGAAUUGAUUGUAAAACUUAUUAAGUCUGCUGAUAUUAUUCUAACUUGUCUGGAUGGUUUAGAGUUUGACCUGUUCUAUAGACACUUGUCUGAUGUAGAGGAUUGUGUGAUCAUGUGGAACUAUUUAAUUAACUUUUACCCCUCAUCUCAUUGUAUUCAUAGGAAUUAAUAAUAAAACUUACGACUUUACUCAUCAUUUCCUGGGAAAAUUAAUUAAAAAAUGAAGAUGUGUUAUGGU
Molecule: long non-coding RNA, 966 nt
Filed under: Mytilus galloprovincialis (Mediterranean mussel)
Lineage: Eukaryota; Metazoa; Mollusca; Bivalvia; Mytilida; Mytilidae
Source: RNAcentral